CAGCAGCCGCGGGAAUACGGAGGGUGCAAGCGUUAAUCGGAAUUACUGGGCGUAAAGCGCACGCAGGCGGUCUGUCAAGUCGGAUGUGAAAUCCCCGGGCUCAACCUGGGAACUGCAUUUGAAACUGGCAGGCUAGAAUCUUGUAGAGGGGGGUAGAAUUCCAGGUGUAGCGGUGAAAUGCGUAGAGAUCUGGAGGAAUACCGGUGGCGAAGGCGGCCCCCUGGACAAAGACUGACGCUCAGGUGCGAAAGCGUGGGGAGCAAACAGGAUUAGAUACCCCUGUAGUCCCUGUCUCUUAUAC
RNAcentral lists this ribosomal RNA (301 nucleotides) under uncultured bacterium. RNAcentral's name for it is "partial 16S ribosomal RNA". It matches the Rfam family "Bacterial small subunit ribosomal RNA", at positions 509 to 807 of the family's 1533-position model. The record is from RNAcentral.